RNAcentral lists this long non-coding RNA (1212 nucleotides) under Ananas comosus (pineapple). RNAcentral's name for it is "long non-coding RNA (ACOM_LNC023466)". Lineage: Eukaryota; Viridiplantae; Streptophyta; Magnoliopsida; Poales; Bromeliaceae. The record is from RNAcentral.
AAGUUAAGAAAUAAGUAUUUAAAAAUUAAUCUAGAAAGCGCGUCAUAUCGGUUAUUAAAAUAAUUAAUUUUUAAAAUUAAAUUCUUAAAAUUUUAAAACUUAAUAUAUAAUAAAUUUAAUCUUAAAAUUUUAAAUUUUUAAUUUUUAGAAUGCAAAAUUUAUUUCAGAAAAAUCACUUUGUAUUCAAUUUCUCACCCAAACGGUUUAGAGCUUUUAACUAAAGUCAGUUCCUCAAAUCAAAAUCAAUUACGCGAAAUUCAUUUUUUCAAAAUCUAGACCAAACGGGCAUUGAUAAAGCAUUUGACGACCUCAUUUUCGAAAUUUGAUUCUAGUUUUUUGAAUCAAUUUUCUACUUUUAAGAUCCAAAAUCAGAAAUAGUAAAAAUUACUUCUUUAAAUCCGAUUAUGAUUUAAAAUUUUAAAAAUUUAUUAAGUUAAAAAUAUAAAAUUUUAAAUUUUAAAAUUUAAAAUUUAAAAUUUAAAAUUUAAAAUUUAAAAUUUAGAAAUGCAUAAAUAAUAAAAUAAUUAAAACUUUUAAAAGNCACGAGCUGGCUCACGAGCUUGCCAACGAACAAUAAAUUAAAACAAAUUAGAUUAAAUAUAUAUAAAAAAUAAAUUUAUAAAAUCUUAUCCAUUAGACUUUGAUUUAAUAGUUGAAACUUUACAUAUAAAUGAGUCUUUUUAUAAUUAAGCUCGUAUUUAUAUUUUUAUUUUAUUAAAAAUUAAAGGCCAAUUUGCAUAAAAAAUUCACUUAUUUUGGGCUUUUGCAAAACCGAGUCACAUUUUUCUUUUUUGGAGAUUCGGCCCAUAUUUUCAGCAAACUGACCAAAAUACCCUUGUUACUUUUUCUCUCUCCUUUUUUUUUUCUCUCGUUCUUUUUUUUCUCUCUCUAAAGAACGCAGCGAUGGCGGAGGCGGAGGCGGAGGCAGAGGCGGAUGUGGAAACAGCCCGCCUCACCUCCGCCCCGCACGCCCUCACCCUCGCCCGUGCAACCCCACCCUCCUCGCCUCCGACCCCGUCAAGACUGCACCGCAACUCCUUUUUUUUUCCCCCUCUCCCACCCACCUCCACCGCCUCUGACGACGACCCGCCUCCGACGACGACGCCUUUCUCACCCUUCCCCGCUUUUUCUCGCCCUUUCCCUCUCCCUCCUCCUUCGUUUCUCUCGCCACUUCCGACGAUGACGCCUCUCUGCCGAUGCUGACGCCGCGAA